RNAcentral lists this ribosomal RNA (468 nucleotides) under Microbacterium sp. IHB B 2299. RNAcentral describes it as "bacterial SSU rRNA". It matches the Rfam family "Bacterial small subunit ribosomal RNA", at positions 581 to 1047 of the family's 1533-position model. Lineage: Bacteria; Bacillati; Actinomycetota; Actinomycetes; Micrococcales; Microbacteriaceae. The record is from RNAcentral.
GUCCGCGUCUGCUGUGAAAUCCCGAGGCUCAACCUCGGGCCUGCAGUGGGUACGGGCAGACUAGAGUGCGGUAGGGGAGAUUGGAAUUCCUGGUGUAGCGGUGGAAUGCGCAGAUAUCAGGAGGAACACCGAUGGCGAAGGCAGAUCUCUGGGCCGUAACUGACGCUGAGGAGCGAAAGGGUGGGGAGCAAACAGGCUUAGAUACCCUGGUAGUCCACCCCGUAAACGUUGGGAACUAGUUGUGGGGUCCAUUCCACGGAUUCCGUGACGCAGCUAACGCAUUAAGUUCCCCGCCUGGGGAGUACGGCCGCAAGGCUAAAACUCAAAGGAAUUGACGGGGACCCGCACAAGCGGCGGAGCAUGCGGAUUAAUUCGAUGCAACGCGAAGAACCUUACCAAGGCUUGACAUAUACGAGAACGGGCCAGAAAUGGUCAACUCUUUGGACACUCGUAAACAGGUGGUGCAUG